This 107-nucleotide small nuclear RNA is filed under the name Castor canadensis (American beaver). The record is from RNAcentral. Lineage: Eukaryota; Metazoa; Chordata; Mammalia; Rodentia; Castoridae.
GUGCUCGCUUCAGCAGCACAUAUACUAAAAUUGGAAUGAUACAGACAAGAUUAGCAUGGCCCAUGUGCAAAGAUGACAUGCAAAAUCGUGAAGCAUUCCAUAUUAAA